Molecule: ribosomal RNA, 501 nt
Filed under: uncultured bacterium
Lineage: Bacteria
Description: partial 16S ribosomal RNA
Rfam family: Bacterial small subunit ribosomal RNA
Source: RNAcentral
AUUGAACGCUGGCGGCAUGCCUUACACAUGCAAGUCGAACGGCAGCACGGGUGCUUGCACCUGGUGGCGAGUGGCGGACGGGUGAGUAAUAUAUCGGAACGUACCUUAUUGUGGGGGAUAACGCAGCGAAAGCUGUGCUAAUGCCGCAUAAUCCCUAAGGGGGAAAGCGGGGAACCGUAAGGCCUCGCGCAAUUAGAGCGGCCGAUACCUGAUUAGCUAGUUGGUGAGGUAAAGGCUCACCAAGGCAACGAUCAGUAGCUGGUCUGAGAGGACGAUCAGCCACACUGGGACUGAGACACGGCCCAGACUCCUACGGGAGGCAGCAGUGGGGAAUUUUGGACAAUGGGGGCAACCCUGAUCCAGCAAUGCCGCGUGAGUGAAGAAGGCCUUCGGGUUGUAAAGCUCUUUUGUCAGGGAAGAAACAGCAGCUCUAACACAGUUUGCGAAUGACGGUACCUGAAGAAUAAGCACCGGCUAACUACGUGCCAGCAGCCGCCGUAA